CGGCGUCGCUAUACCUGCUUUUCAAUACUCGAUCUCAGAAGCUAAGUAGGGUUGGACAUGGUUAGUACUAGGAUGGGAGACUGUUGUGAAUACCAGGUGCCACGGUGG
This 108-nucleotide ribosomal RNA is filed under the name Periophthalmus magnuspinnatus. The record is from RNAcentral. Lineage: Eukaryota; Metazoa; Chordata; Actinopteri; Gobiiformes; Gobiidae.